AGAGUUUGAUCCUGGCUCAGGACGAACGCUGGCGGCGUGCUUAACACAUGCAAGUCGAACGGUAAGGCCCUUCGGGGUACACGAGUGGCGAAUGGGUGAGUAACACGUGGGUAAUCUGCCCUGCACAUCGGGAUAAGCCUGGGAAACUGGGUCUAAUACCGAAUAGGACCACAGGACACAUGUCCUGUGGUGGAAAGCUUUUGCGGUGUGGGAUGGGCCCGCGGCCUAUCAGCUUGUUGGUGGGGUGAUGGCCUACCAAGGCGACGACGGGUAGCCGGCCUGAGAGGGUGUCCGGCCACACUGGGACUGAGAUACGGCCCAGACUCCUACGGGAGGCAGCAGUGGGGAAUAUUGCACAAUGGGCGAAAGCCUGAUGCAGCGACGCCGCGUGGGGGAUGACGGCCUUCGGGUUGUAAACCUCUUUCACCAUCGACGAAGGUCCGGGUUUUCUCGGGCUGACGGUAGGUGGAGAAGAAGCACCGGCCAACUACGUGCCAGCAGCCGCGGUAAUACGUAGGGUGCGAGCGUUGUCCGGAAUUACUGGGCGUAAAGAGCUCGUAGGUGGUUUGUCGCGUUGUUCGUGAAAUCUCACGGCUUAACUGUGAGCGUGCGGGCGAUACGGGCAGACUUGAGUACUGCAGGGGAGACUGGAAUUCCUGGUGUAGCGGUGGAAUGCGCAGAUAUCAGGAGGAACACCGGUGGCGAAAGCGGGUCUCUGGGCAGUAACUGACGCUGAGGAGCGAAAGCGUGGGGAGCGAACAGGAUUAGAUACCCUGGUAGUCC
Molecule: ribosomal RNA, 783 nt
Filed under: uncultured bacterium
Lineage: Bacteria
Description: bacterial SSU rRNA
Rfam family: Bacterial small subunit ribosomal RNA
Source: RNAcentral